RNAcentral lists this ribosomal RNA (432 nucleotides) under uncultured bacterium. RNAcentral describes it as "bacterial SSU rRNA". It matches the Rfam family "Bacterial small subunit ribosomal RNA", at positions 354 to 796 of the family's 1533-position model. The record is from RNAcentral.
GUCGAGGAUCUUCGGCAAUGGACGAAAGUCUGACCGAGCAACGCCGCGUGUGCGAUGAAGGCCUUCGGGUUGUAAAGCACUGUCGAGGGGAAACAAGCCGUAAGGUUGAGUGACCCCUGGAGGAAGCACGGGCUAAGUUCGUGCCAGCAGCCGCGGUAAGACGAACCGUGCAAACGUUAUUCGGAAUCACUGGGCUUAAAGGGCGCGUAGGCGGGUAAUCAAGUCAAUGGUGAAAUCCUCCAGCUUAACUGGAGAAGUGCCUUUGAUACUGGUUGUCUAGAGGGAGGUAGGGGCAUGUGGAACUUCAGGUGGAGCGGUGAAAUGCGUAGAUAUCUGAAGGAACGCCAGUGGCGAAAGCGAUGUGCUGGACCUCUUCUGACGCUGAGGCGCGAAAGCUAGGGGAUCAAACGGGAUUAGAAACCCCAGUAGUCC